Molecule: unclassified non-coding RNA, 344 nt
Filed under: soil metagenome
Description: partial contains 5.8S ribosomal RNA, internal transcribed spacer 2, and large subunit ribosomal RNA
Rfam family: 5.8S ribosomal RNA (bases 1-120)
Source: RNAcentral
GAUGAAGAACGUAGCGAAAUGCGAUAAGUAAUGUGAAUUGCAGAAUUCAGUGAAUCAUCGAAUCUUUGAACGCACAUUGCGCCCGCCAGUAUUCUGGCGGGCAUGCCUGUUCGAGCGUCAUUUCAACCCUCAAGCCCCCGGGCUUGGUGUUGGGGAUCGGCGUGCCCUCGCGGCGCGCCGUCCCCUAAAUCUAGUGGCGGUCUCGCUGUAGCUUCCUCUGCGUAGCAGCAACACUCGCACUGGAUCGCAGCGCGGCCACGCCGUUAAACCCCCCACUUCUGAAAGUUUGACCUCGGAUCAGGUAGGAAUACCCGCUGAACUUAAGCAUAUCAAUAAGCGGAGGA